GACGAACGCUGGCGGCGUGCUUAACACAUGCAAGUCGAACGGAAAGGCCCUGCUUUUGUGGGGUGCUCGAGUGGCGAACGGGUGAGUAACACGUGAGUAACCUGCCCUUGACUUUGGGAUAACUUCAGGAAACUGGGGCUAAUACCGGAUAGGAGCUCCUGCUGCAUGGUGGGGGUUGGAAAGUUUCGGCGGUUGGGGAUGGACUCGCGGCUUAUCAGCUUGUUGGUGUGGUAGUGGCUUACCAAGGCUUUGACGGGUAGCCGGCCUGAGAGGGUGACCGGCCACAUUGGGACUGAGAGACGGACCAGACUCCUACGGGAGGCAGCAGUGGGGAAUAUUGCACAAUGGGCGGAAGCGUGAUGCAGCAACGCCGCGUGCGGGAUGACGGCCUUCGGGUUGUAAACCGCUUUCGCCUGUGACGAAGCGUGAGUGACGGUAAUGGGUAAAGAAGCACCGGCUAACUACGUG
RNAcentral lists this ribosomal RNA (468 nucleotides) under uncultured bacterium. RNAcentral describes it as "partial 16S ribosomal RNA". It matches the Rfam family "Bacterial small subunit ribosomal RNA", at positions 28 to 507 of the family's 1533-position model. The record is from RNAcentral.